GCGCCGGCUGAAGACUAUGUGGGCAGGGAUACCCACCCGAGCAGGGCCAGUGGCGCAAUGGAUAACGCGUCUGACUACGGAUCAGAAGAUUCUAGCUGACAGCUCUGUGCUGCUGCUUGGCCAGCAUCACCUAAGCAUCAUGGUCACCCCUAGCUGUGAAGCCUAUGCCACGGGAACCCUCCCCAAAACCUUCUAAGGAACCCAUCCCCAUCCAUGCUGCAAAAGAGGACCUCCACGCUGGGAAUGGAGCCUGCUCCCACCUGUUGUAGGUCCUCCCCCACCAACUCAGCCCAGGAUCUGGGUCUCCCUAGAAGGAUGCUGGAACAGGAAGACCUGCCCUGGGGCUGCAGCAAAGAGCAGCCACCUCUGACAGGCUGGGGAAACCCCCUGAGAAUGGGGUGCUCUGCCAGUCCCUGCUUCAGACGCUGGCGCUGUGGGACAGAGGCAGGCAGAGGUGGGGGCUGGGCUUCACAAUCUCGCAGGGUUUCUUCCCGCCUAAAGGACUCCAGGAUUCCGUGCAACCACCACUCCACAGCACAACUGCCUCCCUGGGGGCUCCGAGCAGUGACGAUCACCAUCGCGUUACCAAAGACUCAGGCUGAGCACGGCCUCGUGAUGCCCUUUACUCUCGAAAGCACAGGCGGGCCCCGGCCUCAGCCGCUGCUGGGAGCCCUCCCCACGCCUGAAGACAAGAGGGCUGUGCUCACAGGUGCCGCCGGCUGGGCACGGCAGCACAAAUCCUAACGGACAUCUCCCAGAGCCGAGGUGGAAGGAAACGCGAAGGAUUUAGUACCGUUCAGGACCGCCGGCCAGGCUCCGCCUUUGCUUCCAGACACAGCCUCAGCCUGUGCCUGUGCAGCCAGGGCCCACCCAGCUGUGCACCGCAGACCUGCUGCGUGGAGACAAGGGCCAGUGCCCACACAGCUGGGCAUCGCUUUCCACCAGGGCCAGGAGCAUCAGCUGCUGUUGAGGGCUCUAUGCCACAGAUUGUCACAGGGUAACGGUCUCUUCCCACCUCUCAUCUCAUCGUAGUGGCCUACUGAUGUAGCUGCCUGCCCUGGAAGAAAGCAGGGUGAGGAUUUUUACUGCUCAGGACAGCUUCAUUUUGCUUCUCCUUAGUUAAAGAGUGGGUGAGCAGCUCCAGGCUCUGGCUGGGCUCACAGCAAGAUGUCUGCCCAAGCACAGGCAGUGCUGCUGCAGCCAGCAGCAGGAUGCAGCAAUGGAUAAGAAAAGAGAAUGCACAACCACCAUGCCAUGAGAGACAACCCCCCCAGAUCCUCCCAGCAGCACAGCCACUUGGCCUCAGAGGAUGGGAGAAAAGGGAUGUGUGUGGCCACAGCCCUUCCCUGCUUGCACAGGCUGACUCCAGAGAUGUUUCCCUAGCCACGGAGCAGUCCUUUGCAGAAACUUGUCCCAAAUGCACCUCGAUGUAGGCACACAGGUGUGUGAAAGACAGAUCUCUCAUGGCAGCACCAAUCCAACAGCACACAGCACCCCAAAAGCCAACAGAGCACACGGCAGAGGCUGACAUGGGAGAGAGACGCAGAGUCCAGAGCAACAUAUGCAGGUCUGAGAAGUGUGCAGGACUCCCACGAAGGAGCUGAGCUCCUCCAUUCCACCUUCUACCCUGCUCUCAGUAACUGUCUGUCCUGUCCCUGCACAGCCCAUCCCUCCUCUCUCCACACACCCUCGGUGCUCCAGCACCCAUUUCCGUUUAUUGAACAGCAGCAGCCCACCGCAGGUGUUGUUUCAAGGCAAGAGAUUCCCCCUGGGGCAUGUCUCACUUGGCCUGGAUCCAGCCCGGGCACACUCACACCCACUGACUGGCACCCAUGCACUGGUUCCAGUGGGACUGCCGCUGCACCCCCAGCUCAGUGCCAGUGCAGUCCUUCGGGGGACUUUCUUAGCAACAGCAGCAGAGCACAGAGCUGCUGUGGCAUCACCCAGCAGCAGGCUGACAUCCAGGUAAUCUGGAGCAUCAGGUCAAAGCGUUCAGGUAGAGACGGAGACUGCGUGUCAAUUUUCCUCCAAGUAAGGACCUGGGUUUGCUGUUGCUGGGUUAGUAAAUCUUUCAGAGAAGCUCAAAACUGGGACUAAAUUCAUCAGGAAGCAGACACCUGCCGUUCUCCCCAGAGCUGUGUACUCCUGGGAGGGAGGAGGAGGUCACUGCAGACCCAAACACUGAAAUUCAGGGACGCCAAAUAUUUGGCCAGUGUGGACAUCAAAAAGGGCAAAGCGCAGGGGAAGGAAGCCAAAGACAACUUUUCCUCUCGCAAGGCAAGUCAGAACCACGCUGGCUUUCCUGAGCCCAGGCCCCUGCUCUGAAGGCUGCCACUGCACACUGGUGCUGCUGAAACUCCUCCACUUCCAGACCGAAGAGCUACUUGCUCUGUAGCAAAAGGAUCCAACUCCCCUCAAUCAUUAAACCUCAGAAGGACUGGGGAAGUA
Pogoniulus pusillus (Red-fronted tinkerbird) is the source of this 2448-nucleotide long non-coding RNA. RefSeq lists it as uncharacterized. The transcript has 2 exons. The record is from RefSeq and is a predicted model, not a curated record. Lineage: Eukaryota; Metazoa; Chordata; Aves; Piciformes; Lybiidae.